CCAGCACCCGCGGUAAUUCCAGCUCCAAUAGCGUAUAUUAAAGUUGUUGCAGUUAAAAAGCUCGUAGUUGGAUUUGUGGUGUGUCCUGUCGGUCCGCUGGUUCAACCGGUGUGUCUGUACGGGUCUGCCUUUCAUGGGACUGUUGGCUCUGUGGCAUUAGGUUGUCGCGUUGUCGAUGCCCAUCUUUUACUGUGAAAAAAUUAGAGUGUUCAAAGCAGGCUUAUGCCGUUGAAUAUAUUAGCAUGGAAUAAUGAUAUAGGACCUUGGUACUAUUUUGUUGGUUUGCGCACUGAGGUAAUGAUUAAUAGGGACAGUUGGGGGUAUUCGUAUUCCAUUGUCAGAGGUGAAAUUCUUGGAUUUUUGGAAGACGAACUACUGCGAAAGCAUUUACCAAGGAUGUUUUCAUUAAUCAAGAACGAAAGU
This 423-nucleotide ribosomal RNA is filed under the name uncultured Nitzschia. Its description in RNAcentral is "SSU rRNA". It matches the Rfam family "Eukaryotic small subunit ribosomal RNA", at positions 567 to 990 of the family's 1831-position model. Lineage: Eukaryota; Bacillariophyta; Bacillariophyceae; Bacillariales; Bacillariaceae. The record is from RNAcentral.